Molecule: ribosomal RNA, 375 nt
Filed under: uncultured bacterium
Lineage: Bacteria
Description: bacterial SSU rRNA
Rfam family: Bacterial small subunit ribosomal RNA
Source: RNAcentral
ACGUAGGCACCAAGCGUUGUCCGGAUUUAUUGGGCGUAAAGAGCUCGUAGGCGGUUUAGUAAGUCGGGUGUGAAAACUCUGGGCUUAACCCAGAGCCGCCACUCGAUACUGCUAUGACUUGAGUUCGGUAGGGGAGCAGGGAAUUCCUAGUGUAGCGGUGAAAUGCGCAGAUAUUAGGAGGAACACCGGUGGCGAAGGCGCUGCUCUGGGCCGAAACUGACGCUGAGGAGCGAAAGCGUGGGUAGCAAACAGGAUUAGAUACCCUGGUAGUCCACGCCGUAAACGUUGGGCACUAGGUGUGGGUCUCAACCAACGAGAUCCGCGCCGUCGCUAACGCAUUAAGUGCCCCGCCUGGGGAGUACGGCGGCAACGCUA